This 520-nucleotide ribosomal RNA is filed under the name uncultured Entrophospora. RNAcentral's name for it is "SSU rRNA". It matches the Rfam family "Eukaryotic small subunit ribosomal RNA", at positions 569 to 1083 of the family's 1831-position model. The record is from RNAcentral. Lineage: Eukaryota; Fungi; Glomeromycota; Glomeromycetes; Entrophosporales; Entrophosporaceae.
AGCAGCCGCGGUAAUUCCAGCUCCAAUAGCGUAUAUUAAAGUUGUUGCAGUUAAAAAGCUCGUAGUUGAAUUUCGGGAUUGACGUGAUGGUCGUGCCUUAAGGGGUAUGAACUGUUGCAGUUGAUUUCUCACCUUCUGGAAAAACUUGAUGUCCUUUAUUGGGUGUCUUGCGGAUCCAGGACCUUUACCUUGAAAAAAUUAGAGUGCUUAAAGCAGGCAUUUUUGCUCGAAUACAUUAGCAUGGAAUAAUAGAAUAGGACGGCAUGGUUCUAUUUUGUUGGUUUCUAGGAUCACCGUAAUGAUUAAUAGGGAUAGUUGGGGGCAUUAGUAUUCAAUUGUCAGAGGUGAAAUUCUUGGAUUUAUUGAAGACUAACUACUGCGAAAGCAUUUGCCAAGGAUGUUUUCAUUAAUCAAGAACGAAAGUUAGGGGAUCGAAGGCGAUCAGAUACCGUCGUAGUCUUAACCAUAAACUAUGCCGACUAGGAAUCAGACGAUGUAAUUUUUUCAAUGACUCGUUUGG